Molecule: non-coding RNA, 74 nt
Organism: Datura stramonium (jimsonweed)
Lineage: Eukaryota; Viridiplantae; Streptophyta; Magnoliopsida; Solanales; Solanaceae
Source: the annotation of a GenBank genome assembly
AGCGGGGUAGAGGUAUUGAUCAACUCAUCAGGAUCAUGACCUGAAGAUUGCAGGUUCAAAUCUUGUCCCUGCCU